Long non-coding RNA from Cyprinus carpio (common carp), 1360 nucleotides. Lineage: Eukaryota; Metazoa; Chordata; Actinopteri; Cypriniformes; Cyprinidae. The record is from Ensembl.
AUGAAGCAGGCCAGCCUCUUUUCUUAUCAUCAGGAAGUUGUCAGAUGUAAGGGAAGAGCAGUAAUGGGUCUUCUGUUGACUUUACAUCCUUGGAAAGUCCGCCUGGGCCUCACACCUGCUGUCUAUCUAGGCGUUUGGAAUCUCUGCAUUGAUAGACAGGAUGCAAGAUCUGGAAAGUAUGCAGGCGGCCGAAGACCCUUAAAGGUGCACUCUGUGCGUCGAGGAAAUGGUCAGGAAUGUCAGCAUUGUUUGAAUGCCCAUGCUGUUAAUCAUCAAUAUAAACACCUGUAUACUUAAUAUAAUUCACAGGGCCUUUUAUUAAAGGUUUUUUUCCUUGUUUUGACGGGACACUCAAAGCGGGAGAUCAUGAGGUCGCCUCUCCAUGAUAACCGGAGUGUAACACUCAUGGGUGGUUUUGGUUUAUGUAUUAAUUCAUUGCGGUCAGCUGACAGUGUGCUCUGAAGGGUAGUGUCACCGAGUGCACUGGCAGCUUGACAAGUGCCCCAUCUGACAGAGGCCAGACUGAAUGUCCUUGACAGUAGCAUAGCGCUGGCAGGAGUGCUUCAGUGGCAGCAGAAUACAUAAUUGGUGACACGAUGAGCAAAGAGGACACUUGACAGAAGUCCUGGGCUGGAGAGUGAAAGGCACACUGGCAGCCUUCACAAACUCAAAGACGUCUGAGCAGCUCAUGGUUGAUUGAGACUCGGUCUUGGUUUCUUGGUUCAAAGUACAGUUUAAUGGCUGUCAGCUAUAUGCUAUUAACCUCCUUAAAGGAUUUGUUUACUCAGUUAAAGUACGUCAUUAUUAGUUGAUUGACCCUCCCCAUUAGUGAACUAUUGCAGCUUAGUUUACAAAUUGUAUGAACCAGUGUUAUGAUGCUUUAGUCUGGAGCUUGAAAGCUUCUUGCAAGUUUUAGAAGGACGUUAUGACAGAAUUUUUACUUUUUGGGUCAACUGUCUCUUUAAAGAAAAAUGCAUCAAAAUAAUUACCAAGAGUUUGCAACUAAUAAUAUCUAUAAAUAUACUACAGUAUAGCUGAUAAUAUAUUAUCAAUCAUACUAGACCAACAUUUUGCUCAUGGUUUUGGAAAAACAAUCUCAUGGCAGUUUGUAACUAUUUUUUAUGAUAUGGCAAAUUAUUAAAGUUGUUCAAUGAAUUCAUAAAAACUCAUGUAUACAUUUCUGUACGACCUGCUUAUACCCCAUUAAGGGUUAGGUUUAGGAAUGGACCUUAAUGCUUAGUUUUGUUAUAAAAAAUUACAUUUUCGUAUAAAUCAAAUCAUACUAAUACAGAAUUUCCAACUCAUAAAUGCUUUUUUUGAUGAGAUGAGGUAAAAAAUAAUAAAAAAAAGAAAAUGUUCA